CUGUGCAUAGCGAAGAGCACUGCAGCGCACCCACAGCUAAGGAGGAAGCGUGCACACCGCACAGCAGCUGUCACUUGCCACUGCACGUAUCAAUGGCUUCCCUGCAUCUCAGGAAUGUAUGACAGAAGACUGCAUGUCGAAUAGGUAUGUUGUAGCAAAGCUAGCUGACGAUGAUCUUCCUUCUUGCCACUAGUCACUGACAACCGGUACGGGCAGCAGAGCACUCUGCUGCUCUGCUGCUUCCUUGUUCGCGCUUUGUAUCCUGCGGCGAUUCCUCUCUAACAGAGGUGAAGUGUCGUCUCCUGCUCACAGAACACUCUGCUGGUAGGUUUUGCUUCUGCCAAACCACGCCUGGCGUGUGCACUUUUCUUCUAAACCCUCUGUACCAUACCAGAUUGCCCUGCUCCUUGUAAGCGUACCUGCCCUCUUUCAGCUGUGCGUAGCGAAGAGCGCUGCAGCGCACCUACAGCUAAGGAGAAAACGCGCACAGCGCACAAUAGUUCUCACUUUGCACUACACAUCGAAAUGAGCUCUCUGCAGCACGGAUAUGUACCAUUGAAGGCUGCGUGUCGAAUAGCUUCAGAUAUCCACAGUGAAUUUCUGACAAGGGAGAGGGGCAGGAUUUCUGUGGGAUGUGCCUGUGUGAACGUUGAUGAAUAUCCUCAGCUCCAAUUCUGUCUCUCCCUCUGGAUGCUCAAAAGUGGCUCCAGUGCCCAGAAAAGCCUCCCCUGGGCCCAGCAUCCUGUGCUCAGUGUCACAUGGAGGUGAGUCUGGGGUACCAUUGUGUUAUAUUUCAGUAUUUUCAGAGGAGAGGAGCUUUCAGUGAAUGGGGAGUGCUGUAAGAAUUGCUGGGGAAGAGCAGGGACAGGAGAGAGUAAUUCCAGAGCAGCUGGAAGGAAAGGUGAAGCUGGGCUUCACUCCAGUGCAGUUCCAGUAUGUUAAUCCAAGAAAAAAAAAAAAGUUUUUCAUAAGCCUGGGCUCCUCAUGCUGAUUUUACAGCUGAUUUUUAUUUUCAGUGCUGCUGUGCCCUGUCUCAGAGGAACCCAGGGAGCUGCAG
Molecule: long non-coding RNA, 1057 nt
Filed under: Ficedula albicollis (Collared flycatcher)
Lineage: Eukaryota; Metazoa; Chordata; Aves; Passeriformes; Muscicapidae
Description: lncRNA (ENSFALG00000025634.1)
Source: RNAcentral